AGUAACACGUGAGUGACCUGCCUUUUAGACUGGAACAGCUUACCGAAAGGUGAGCUAAUGCCGGAUGAGUUAUAUAAGUGCAUGUUUAUAUAGGAAAAGUUGGGGAGACCUGACGCUGAAAGAUGGACUCGCGUCCCAUUAGCUAGUUGGUAGGGUAAUGGCCUACCAAGGCGACGAUGGGUAGCCGGCCUGAGAGGGUGGCCGGCCACACUGGGACUGAGACACGGCCCAGACUCCUACGGGAGGCAGCAG
RNAcentral lists this ribosomal RNA (252 nucleotides) under uncultured bacterium. RNAcentral describes it as "partial 16S ribosomal RNA". It matches the Rfam family "Bacterial small subunit ribosomal RNA", at positions 109 to 354 of the family's 1533-position model. The record is from RNAcentral.